RNAcentral lists this ribosomal RNA (1300 nucleotides) under uncultured bacterium. RNAcentral describes it as "bacterial SSU rRNA". It matches the Rfam family "Bacterial small subunit ribosomal RNA", at positions 50 to 1396 of the family's 1533-position model. The record is from RNAcentral.
AACACANGCAAGUCGAACGGGCUCUUCGGAGCUAGUGGCGGACGGGUGAGGAACGCGUGAGAACCUGCCCCAAGGUCGGGGACAACAGUUGGAAACGACUGCUAAUACCGGAUGAGCCGAAUAGGUAAAAGAUUUAUCGCCUAGAGAGGGGCUCGCGUCUGAUUAGCUAGAUGGUGAGGUAAAGGCUUACCAUGGCGACGAUCAGUAGCUGGUCUGAGAGGAUGAGCAGCCACACUGGGACUGAGACACGGCCCAGACUCCUACGGGAGGCAGCAGUGGGGAAUUUUCCGCAAUGGGCGAAAGCCUGACGGAGCAAUACCGCGUGAGGGAGGAAGGCUCUUGGGUUGUAAACCUCAAAACUUAGGGAAGAAAAAAAUGACGGUACCUAAUGUAAGCAUCGGCUAACUCCGUGCCAGCAGCCGCGGUAAUACGGAGGAUGCAAGCGUUAUCCGGAAUCAUUGGGCGUAAAGAGUCCGUAGGUGGCACUUCAAGUCUGCUUUCAAAGACCGAAGCUCAACUUCGGAAAGGGAGUGGAAACUGAAGAGCUAGAGUAUAGUAGGGGUAGAGGGAAUUCCUAGUGUAGCGGUGAAAUGCGUAGAGAUUAGGAAGAACACCAGUGGCGAAGGCGCUCUACUGGGCAUAUACUGACACUGAGGGACGAAAGCUAGGGGAGCGAAAGGGAUUAGAUACCCCUGUAGUCCUAGCGGUAAACGAUGGAUACUAGGCGUAGUGCUGUUAGAAGGACUGUGCCGAAGCUAACGCGUUAAGUAUCCCGCCUGGGGAGUACGCACGCAAGUGUGAAACUCAAAGGAAUUGACGGGGGACCCGCACAAGCGGUGGAGUAUGUGGUUUAAUUCGAUGCAACGCGAAGAACCUUACCAAGGCUUGACAUCCUGCGAAUCUUGGAGAAAUCUGAGAGUGCCUAAGGGAACGCAGAGACAGGUGGUGCAUGGCUGUCGUCAGCUCGUGUCGUGAGAUGUUGGGUUAAGUCCCGCAACGAGCGCAACCCUCGUCCUUAGUUGCCAGCAUUAAGUUGGGGACUCUAGGGAGACCGCCGGGGAGAACUCGGAGGAAGGUGGGGAUGACGUCAAGUCAGCAUGCCCCUUACGUCUUGGGCUACACACGUACUACAAUGGUUGGGACAAAGGGGAGCGAAACCGCGAGGUGGAGCGAAUCUCAUCAAACCCAGCCACAGUUCAGAUUGCAGGCUGAAACUCGCCUGCAUGAAGGAGGAAUCGCUAGUAAUCGCAGGUCAGCAUACUGCGGUGAAUCCGUUCCCGGGUCUUGUACACACCGCCCG